CUUGCUCCAACAGCUAAGGAAUUUGCGAUAACCGCAAGAGGCAUGCCUUUCGUUUCAGGCACCUUAAUUAACACGAAUAUAAAGGAGACUAUGCAGACAACAGCAUAUAUCCCACAAACACCAAUUAGACCUAUGGAGCUUAGCAUAACAGGAAAUGCAUAAGUGACAAUAAUGGAAACAAUCCAAAAUGUCAAUGUACAAAUAGACAUACAACGGUUACGACAACUAGGAGGAAAAAGCUCUGAGCAAAGAACAUUGGGAAUUGGUCCAAAUCCCAUAACGAAGCAACAAACAUAGAUGAUAACACCAAAUGUGGAUAAAAUAGCUCCAAAAAUUGCUUCUAAGUUCAUAACAUUGACCACGAUCAAUAUAAUAAGUGAUACUAUCAACAUUGGUAUUAAAACAUCAUGCUGACCUUCUUCCAUAACGAUCCAUGCAUUUCAUUGCAAUACCAAUAGAAGGAAGCAUCGUAAAGGUGGUUAGAGCACUCGUCAAAAUAGAUGAUGAGGAAGAACUAACAUUAAACCAUUUUAACAAAAUUCCAGCUCCAGCUUGCUCAAGUAUUUGAGGAGUGUAAUAAAGAAUGCCACUAAUUCCAGCAAGCUACAAAUAAAAAGAAUUUGUAUUGUGACACCCACAAUCAAUCCCUGCUUUACCCCGGGUUGUAAAAGAUCAGACCAACUUUGUCCUUCGGUAGACAAGUUGAAUUUGGAUGGAUGCACCAUUGCAGGUCCAAUAGAAUGGUGAAAAGAAGGUGUGCUAACCAAAGCGGUUGCAUGGGAAACACGGCCAGCUUGAAGAAUAUCACCUUGUAGAAAAAUUUGUUGGAAGUCAUCUUGUGUUUGCCCAAAUUCAUUCUCUCUUUGAACAAAUUUCCAAGCUAUGUGCCAUCCUCCAUUAACACAUGCAUCAUCUAUUCCUUCCAUAUAAGAUCCUUGGUGAAAUAGAAGUGGAUGGCCGAGGUCAUCUUCAUAAUCAGUAUCAAGAUCUUCUUGGCUCUCCAAAUCUGUUUUAGGUUGUUCUAUAUCAUUUGACAUGUUUCCAGAACUAGUGAAUUCAGGUGUAUUCAAUAUAUUACCAUGGAUACUAUCAAAAAGUGUGACAAUAGGAUCAAGCAAAUUAGGUAUAGGACUAUGGUCACUUUCAACAACAUUUUUUCCCUUGAAUGGACGUGCAAACCAAGUCACACCUUCUUCAUGGCCAUACAAUUUGGUUGUUUCUGUGUUUGAAAUUGAUUGAUCAUCAAAUUCAUCAUUAUUAUGACCAAUCAUGUAAUCUUCGAUAUAAUUAUCUUGGUCAACUGUCAAGCCUUGAAUAAGAAAGGCUAUUUCACCUUCAUGAAUAAAUAAAAAAAAUAUUAAUGCCAAAUUAUUUACACCGGUAAAUAUAUAUAUAUAUAUAUAUAUAUGAGAUAUUAUAAUUUAAAAUCUAAGUUUAAUACCCACUUAGAAAAAUCUAAUUUUUAUACAUACUUGAGACUUCAUUUGUUCCUCUUAGUCUUUUCAUAACAUUUUUUGCUUCUUCUAUCUUUCCUUUGCUCACAAGGAAUACAGGAGACUCCGGUAAAUAGAAGAUGCACAGUAGUAAAAAGACAAAUGAAGGAAUUGAUAAGGAGCCAAGCAUGAUUCUCCAGUUGGGAUUUAGUGUAAGUGACAUUAAAAAUACCAUAAUGUAAGAUAGCAACAUUCCAAGAGACCCAUUGAAUUGUGGCAAUGUAUUUAAUAACCCUCGCAUAUUUGUAGGCGCAGUCUCUGAGAUAUAAAGUGGGGCAUAUGUCACCACCAAGCCUGAACCAAAGCCAUAAAUAAGUCUCGCCAACAGUAGCAUAUAUUCAUUUGAAGCCUGAAACAUGAUCAAUGCACUGAUAGAGUAUAGAAUUGCCGCAACAGAAAGCAAUGGCCUCUUCCCAAUAGAAUUGGUAAUCAUCCCUGAUAGUGCAGUGAUUAUAGUUGCACCAAUUAGUGACAUUGCUAGGAUAAGUCCCUCCAUCAUUGGAUCGUUUUGUAGGUUGAAUUCGUUCUUUAUGUACAUAAUAGCACC
This 2040-nucleotide small RNA is filed under the name Oryza sativa Japonica Group (Japanese rice). RNAcentral describes it as "sRNA Os03g0128866". The record is from RNAcentral. Lineage: Eukaryota; Viridiplantae; Streptophyta; Magnoliopsida; Poales; Poaceae.